Molecule: long non-coding RNA, 462 nt
Organism: Haliotis rufescens (red abalone)
Lineage: Eukaryota; Metazoa; Mollusca; Gastropoda; Lepetellida; Haliotidae
Exons: 3
Source: RefSeq, a predicted model, not a curated record
ACACCCAAACAGCAUGUGCAGGUAGAUACGAGUGUAAUUGUGUAUAUAAACGACAAUAUCAACCAUGACGAUACACUCUCAAGUUCAACAACAACAUGAAAGGUAUCAGCAUAACGAGCGCCAUCUGUUUCUUCGCCAUUGUCAUGGCAAUGCUGGUGUCCUAUGCCGACGCGAGCUGCUGUUGUCACAAUGGCAACCACCAAAGCCACCACAGCAGGCACGGCAUCCCCGUCCCCAUCCCCUACCCCAUCGGCGGCGGCGGGGGCGGCAGCCACUCCUCCAACAUCCCUCUCGUCAUCACAACUGCUGGAAAAUAGUUACAACGAGCAGAUGUACACAAAGCCUCCAUCAGACUUACAGACACACAGCUACAGACAAAACCCGAAAACGAAUUGGUCCAAUUAUUAUUCAUUUUCCAUGUACAUGUGUCUGAUAAAAGAAAAAUAAAUAAGAUAAAACGUU